ACCUUGAUGGUAUUUUAGAAGAGGAAGAAAAUCCAUCUCUGCAGAGUCACUGGAGACUUUGGCUAUUACUAAUUGAUUCUACACGGAGAGCACACAGUGGGGACAGCCUUCAGUCUGAAGCGCAUCAAAAAAAAGUCUUGCUGACCCUGAAGAGGCUUUCCGGAUAUUUAGGGCUUGGCUGCCCUUCCUUAGUGGAUGGAUGAGCCGGUGGUCAUCAUCAACCAUUCUGGAGGCUACGUUUAGCCUUAAAACUGAAGCUGGAUGAAAUGUUUUACAGACACAGCAUUGCACACAUUGCAGAAGGUGGUAUGCUGAAGUCGGUGCCCACACAGUGGGCA
RNAcentral lists this long non-coding RNA (338 nucleotides) under Numida meleagris (helmeted guineafowl). RNAcentral describes it as "lncRNA (ENSNMEG00000016396.1)". The record is from RNAcentral. Lineage: Eukaryota; Metazoa; Chordata; Aves; Galliformes; Numididae.